This 371-nucleotide ribosomal RNA is filed under the name uncultured bacterium. Its description in RNAcentral is "bacterial SSU rRNA". It matches the Rfam family "Bacterial small subunit ribosomal RNA", at positions 527 to 896 of the family's 1533-position model. The record is from RNAcentral.
GUAGGUGGCAAGCGUUGUCCGGAUUUACUGGGCGUAAAGGGCUUGUAGGCGGUUUGUUAAGUCCGGUGUGAAAUCUCCCGGCUCAACUGGGAGGAGCCAUCGGAAACUGGCAAGCUAGAGGUGGGCAGAGGAAAGCGGAAUUCCCGGUGUAGCGGUGAGAUGCGUAGAUAUCGGGAGGAACACCAGUGGCGAAGGCGGCUUUCUGGGCCUAUCCUGACGCUGAGGAGCGAAAGCGUGGGGAGCAAACCGGAUUAGAUACCCGGGUAGUCCACGCCCUAAACGGUGGAUGCUAGGUGUGGGGGGUGUCGACCCCCUCUGUGCCGUAGCUAACGCUUUAAGCAUCCCGCCUGGGGAGUACGGCCGCAAGGCUA